GCUGGGCACGGUGGUGCACGCUUGUAAUCCCAGCAGCUCGGGAGGCUGAGGCAGGGGGAUCUCAAGUUCAAAGCCAGCCGCAGCAACUUAGCGAGUUGCUAAGCAACUCAGUGAGACCCUGUCUCUA
RNAcentral lists this small RNA (127 nucleotides) under Marmota monax (woodchuck). Lineage: Eukaryota; Metazoa; Chordata; Mammalia; Rodentia; Sciuridae. The record is from RNAcentral.